AGAGCAGUCCAUCUUCAAGGUCCGGAUAACAUGAGAAAUGAACCUUCUCACAUCGUUGUUGGGGAUGAUGGACUGUAGUUGAUAGGUUAGCGGAAUUUCAAACUGAUCACCUGGGGAUGAGAGCAAUGGGUAAUUGAAGCUUUUGGGCUCGGGGGACAGGUCAGUGCCAACGUUGUUGUAUUCCCAUUUUGUCUCAGUUUGUUUAACAGUUGGCUCUAAGUUGAACGCAGUCCUAGUGGAAUCUGCCUCAGGAAGAUGAUUGGUUUGUGUUUUCAGAGAUGGUGCCUUCUGGCAUAGUAGUGUUUUCCAUAAAAACGUUUUCUUCAGAGGCAUUUCUUGCAGUUGUGUUUUUUACAGUAGUGUUUUCUAUAAAACGUUCUGAAGGAGCAAAUACUUCUGGAAAAGGGUUUUCUUGAGGACUCAGGUCUCCUGAGGAUGAAAAAGCUGCUUGUGAAGGGGAAUUUAUGAGACUCUUCGCUGCAGAGAACGGCGGCCUCUUUGUGAGCAUCAAUCUAUUGAGAUAACUUUUCUUUCUGAAUUUUCUAAUCUUUUUGGCCUUGGGUGUUCUGUGGGCCACAUGGGAGUGAUUUUUGUGAAAGUGGUAUUUUUUUCUGGAAUGUACGAUUGGUUUAGCAGCCUUCAUAUUUUUUAACUCUAGCCUUUGCAUUUUCUAAAAUUAAAAUGGUGUAGGCUAAGUCUUUCGAUCUGUCUCCGACCUGAGGUAGGGCUUUUGCAGUUGUGGAAGGCAGAAGGCACGCCCAUGGAGAAGGGUUUCAGCAGAGAGGAGACUGUUGGCUUCUGUUCUUGGGUGAAUGAAGGCUUGGUGUAGAUGGCAUUUGCCGCUACAUUCUCGGGCCCCUGCACUAUCUGAGGCUGUUCUAGCUCCCUUGGGGCUGGACUCCCGAGCCUUUUUUCUUUGGCAGCAUUCUCCCCAAAUGCCUGGGCACCCUGUUCCCUCCUGAUACUCUGCUUUCCCACCUCUUUGAAGGGCCUUUUCUGGAUGCUCCUUGGGCCCAUGAGGACUCUGUUCACUCUCUGCAGGUUUUUGCCUACACUUUGAACCUUUGCCAGGCUGUUUUCCUGUGGUUGGACAAUUUCUAAUUUAUUUUCAAAUAUUUGGCGUUUAAAUUUGUUACCUAGAAGGCUGGGCUGCAAGCAUGGCAGUUUUUUCUUCCCUUUUUAACUUCAUCGAUUUUUUCUUGUAUUUCUGCAUCUAACAUCUUUUCUAGCAAAUACACCUUUCUCAAUUUAUUUUCAUAAGUUGAAUUGUUGGAUGCAGGUUGAAACGAGGGGCUCUUUGUAUUGUUUUUCAAAACAGGAGCCUAUCUCCAUCUUGCACAUUUGAAAAAAGCAGUUUAAUGAAUGGUAACAACAUUGAUUCCGCAUCUAGAUUUCCUGCUGAGAAAUAAGGCAAGAUGUAACAGCGCACUGAUAACAUCACUGUCAUCGUUAGUGUCUAGCUGCUCACUCCCAAAGCCUGACAAGUUGAUGCCACUGCUGUCUGAGGCUGCCUCCGGCUCAGUAGUCAGCUCAGUGCUCAUGUGCUUCUUCCAGGCUUGUAACACUUUCAUGAACACUCCUUCUGGAUUCCCUACAGAUGCUUCUUCACCUGUCAAAAAAGAAGAGACUGCUUUGAUCCUGAAAGAUAAUGGGACAGCAUGCAUCAGUCCACAGCUGUAUGCCCCAGCCACACAAAGUAGGAGUUAGCAAACAUUAGAAUGCCAUUCAGAGAGGAGAAACACACACCCAAUCCUAAACCUAUGAAAUGGCAACAACAAAAGGAGGAAAAGAUAUCUUUUGAAAAUAUGGCUACCUACUUGGAACAUUCCAUAGUGUGACAUAGAGUAACUCUGCUUAGGAUUAUUUCGUUGAUCCCCAGGGGCCAAUUGCCCAGUGCUCAGUCAAAGCCCAAGGUGGAAGACAAGUGCUUCCCUGAUGAGCUGUCCUCUCUGCAGACUGCUCUGUACCCUGUGCUGUCCUGCCUCAGAUGCAGAGAGAGCACAAGGCUCCCUCUCUCCUCGUCCUCAGUGUGCCUGUGUUCUUGCUACCAUCACAGCUGAAUGCAAUGAAAGGCUAUCCUCUGAGAGGAGCAGGGUGGAGAUGCUAAAGUGGAGGCCCCCUCCCAUUGCUGAUAGAUCCUCAUCUGGCACGCGCUCCACCCACCCACCCCAGUCUCUGCUACCACAUAUCGUAGCCCCAUCAAAGAAGACACGACAUGGAAAAAACACUGUGUCCACCCUAGUCCUUUUCUUAAAUUUGGGCAGGGAUCCAGGGUGUAGGUUAAGAGAUUUUUAAUUUGCCAGAUGGUAUGCCUAUGUUGUUAAAUAUACAAUGAAUCUAUGGUAUGAUAGCAGUUUCUGGAUAAACAUUACUUGAGGUCCUAAAAUGCAGAAGGGAAAAAACAGCUUUUGUCAGAUGCCUACUUUGCUUUCAUUUCAUCUCUAAUAUGUUGGAUGGGGAAUCAUCCAAAGCUUCUGACUGCGUGAAGGUCAAGUGUGCCAGUGUGCAGCUGGGUUUCUUUUCCAGAAUUAAAAGUAUUUUGGGUGGUGCUGAGGGUCAGAGGAAGAAGUAAAGAUUGUGAGAAAGGAGAAACAUGGGCUUGGGGAGAACCCAGAAUUGGGGACAGAAGACCUGGCACUAAGUUAUAGCACUUAGCACCUCUGAUCUUGUUUUUCCUCAUCUGUAAAAGGAGAUUAACAGUGCUUUUCUGCCCACCUCUUGGGGAGAAGGGAAUAAUUUAGUUGGUUAAAAAAAAAAAGUUUUGAAAAAUAAGCAACUCUGUCUUUAUAUAAGUAGCCAAGCAUUAUUAAUUAUCCACCCCAUAUCACUGGUAGAUACCUGUAUUCAAGCUAUGUGGACAUAAAAGCAAUCACAUUUUAGAAGUGAUGAAGUUGGUGCUAAUAAACCCAAUCUACAGAAAAA
RNAcentral lists this long non-coding RNA (2922 nucleotides) under Pongo abelii (Sumatran orangutan). RNAcentral describes it as "lincRNA". The record is from RNAcentral. Lineage: Eukaryota; Metazoa; Chordata; Mammalia; Primates; Hominidae.